Molecule: ribosomal RNA, 366 nt
Filed under: Escherichia coli
Lineage: Bacteria; Pseudomonadati; Pseudomonadota; Gammaproteobacteria; Enterobacterales; Enterobacteriaceae
Description: bacterial SSU rRNA
Rfam family: Bacterial small subunit ribosomal RNA
Source: RNAcentral
UUAAAUUGAAGAGUUUGAUCAUGGCUCAGAUUGAACGCUGGCGGCAGGCCUAACACAUGCAAGUCGAACGGUAACAGGAAGCAGCUUGCUGCUUCGCUGACGAGUGGCGGACGGGUGAGUAAUGUCUGGGAAACUGCCUGAUGGAGGGGGAUAACUACUGGAAACGGUAGCUAAUACCGCAUAACGUCGCAAGACCAAAGAGGGGGACCUUCGGGCCUCUUGCCAUCGGAUGUGCCCAGAUGGGAUUAGCUAGUAGGUGGGGUAACGGCUCACCUAGGCGACGAUCCCUAGCUGGUCUGAGAGGAUGACCAGCCACACUGGAACUGAGACACGGUCCAGACUCCUACGGGAGGCAGCAGUGGGGAA